Molecule: transfer RNA, 58 nt
Filed under: Salmo salar (Atlantic salmon)
Lineage: Eukaryota; Metazoa; Chordata; Actinopteri; Salmoniformes; Salmonidae
Rfam family: tRNA
About the family: Transfer RNA (tRNA) molecules are approximately 80 nucleotides in length. Their secondary structure includes four short double-helical elements and three loops (D, anti-codon, and T loops). Further hydrogen bonds mediate the characteristic L-shaped molecular structure. tRNAs have two regions of fundamental functional importance: the anti-codon, which is responsible for specific mRNA codon recognition, and the 3' end, to which the tRNAs corresponding amino acid is attached (by aminoacyl-tRNA synthetases). tRNAs cope with the degeneracy of the genetic code in two manners: having more than one tRNA (with a specific anti-codon) for a particular amino acid; and 'wobble' base-pairing, i.e. permitting non-standard base-pairing at the 3rd anti-codon position.
Source: Rfam by way of RNAcentral
UGGCUCAGUUGGUAGAGCAUGGCACUUGCAACGCUAGGUUUGUGGGUUUGAUUCCCAU